RNAcentral lists this ribosomal RNA (246 nucleotides) under uncultured bacterium. RNAcentral describes it as "partial 16S ribosomal RNA". It matches the Rfam family "Bacterial small subunit ribosomal RNA", at positions 87 to 334 of the family's 1533-position model. The record is from RNAcentral.
UCUGGCGACCGGCGCACGAGUGAGUAACACGUAUCCAACCUGCCCUUUACUCGGGGAUAGCCUUUCGAAAGAAAGAUUAAUACCCGAUAGCAUAAUGAUUCCGCAUGGUUUCAUUAUUAAAGGAUUCCGGUAAAGGAUGGGGAUGCGUUCCAUUAGGUUGUUGGUGAGGUAACGGCUCACCAAGCCUUCGAUGGAUAGGGGUUCUGAGAGGAAGGUCCCCCACAUUGGAACUGAGACACGGUCCAA